AACUGUACAGUUAAAUCGUACGGCGUGCUAGUUGUAUGAACCUACGCUUUAACUGUACAGUUCU
RNAcentral lists this non-coding RNA (64 nucleotides) under Spodoptera frugiperda (fall armyworm). The record is from RNAcentral. Lineage: Eukaryota; Metazoa; Arthropoda; Insecta; Lepidoptera; Noctuidae.